AGGUGGUGCAUGGUUGUCGUCAGCUCGUGUCGUGAGAUGUUGGGUUAAGUCCCGCAACGAGCGCAACCCUUAAGCUUAGUUGCCAUCAUUAAGUUGGGCACUCUAAGUUGACUGCCGGUGACAAACCGGAGGAAGGUGGGGAUGACGUCAAAUCAUCAUGCCCCUUAUGAUUUGGGCUACACACGUGCUACAAUGGACAAUACAAAGGGCAGCGAAACCGCGAGGUCAAGCAAAUCCCAUAAAGUUGUUCUCAGUUCGGAUUGUAGUCUGCAACUCGACUACAUGAAGCUGGAAUCGCUAGUAAUCGUAGAUCAGCAUGCUACGGUGAAUACGUUCCCGGGUCUUG
This 346-nucleotide ribosomal RNA is filed under the name uncultured bacterium. RNAcentral's name for it is "bacterial SSU rRNA". It matches the Rfam family "Bacterial small subunit ribosomal RNA", at positions 1036 to 1383 of the family's 1533-position model. The record is from RNAcentral.